GAGUGUUUUGAUCUUUUGUGCUGCGUUUGGUUUUCCUCAGAAUCCAAGGGGCAGAGAAGAGUUCAGAACUCGAAAAUACAAAUCCCUAACCCAUUUCUUCCUCCAAUUUGUUGCUGCCAGAGACUCUCCUUCCCGUCGAUCAUUGACUGUCAAAGCUUUUACUGUGUUUCACUUUUGACUUCGAAUCGGCCAGUGUUCACGGUCGAAGCCAAGAGUCAGAGUGUUCACUGUGUAUUGUCGACUGCCAGAAGCUCCAUUGUCGAAGCCAAGAACCAG
This 276-nucleotide unclassified non-coding RNA is filed under the name Hevea brasiliensis (rubber tree). Lineage: Eukaryota; Viridiplantae; Streptophyta; Magnoliopsida; Malpighiales; Euphorbiaceae. The record is from RNAcentral.